RNAcentral lists this long non-coding RNA (1676 nucleotides) under Gossypium barbadense (sea-island cotton). RNAcentral's name for it is "long non-coding RNA (GBAR_LNC018547)". The record is from RNAcentral. Lineage: Eukaryota; Viridiplantae; Streptophyta; Magnoliopsida; Malvales; Malvaceae.
AAAUCCAUAACCCUAUCUAUUGUGCUGUGCGGCUGUGCCUUCCUCCCCUUUUUUUCCCAUUUCCAAAAUCGACAGAGUCUUCCAGUACCGAUCCACCUCCACCAUCAAGACCUCCACCGAUCCACCUCCGGUCGGUUUGUUUAUUCCCGAAUCGCCAAGUAGAAGCAAGCAUACAAGAACGAGGAGUUUGGUACAGGUACGGGUUUGCUCAUCUUCUUCGGUUUCCUCGUUUUCAUUCUCUUUAUUAAAAACAACUGUUCUUUCAAUGAAUUUAUGCAUCAAAAUAGCAAUAACAUAAAUAUCAAAUGUAAAAUAAAACGCAUUAAAGCAUCAAAAACCUUACCUGAAAUGCAGACUAAAAUCAAGAGUAGAUAAUGCUAAGUUCCCACUUUCUGCAGAUUACCUACUCUUUUACCUCUCAAGAUGAUUCGCUUAAUUUUAGUUACAAAACAUACAGGCAUGAUGUGUUUUGUUUACUUAAUUUUUGUUUUAUGCAUGUAUUUAGUGGUUGAUACUAUGAAAAUAUUAGAGGGUAGAGUCAGUAGUGAUUCAUGUCAAUGGAGGAUAUUUAAUACAAUUCUUCCUUUUUCUUAGAAACAGUUUGAAUUAAAAAUGGAAAUCUAAUCUAACAUUCUUACUUCAUUUCUAAUUGCAGUUUUCUUUCAACUUCUUUCUACUGAAGUUACACACACUUCAUUUGGGGCAUCCUUUUGCUGAAUGUUAACCAAUGUUGACUAUUCUAGAACUAUACCACAUCGACAUAUAAGAAUGUUAAAUUAGAUAAAGCAAGUUCUGUGAAAUUAAUUACAGAUUGAAUUCACGUUAGAGGUUAGCUUUUUGGCUUCUUGAAUUGCGAAUUGGGUUUAGUUUAUUCCUUUAAAUAGGGUAACAUAUGCAGAUAACAUGUGCCAAUGCUCUGCAUGUAUUUUGUGUACAAUAUUCUGGUUGAAAUUAAGAAUGGUUACAUUCCCAUAUCAUGCCCCAACUUUUGGGUUUAAUUCAAUUAUGAAGAUUUUUCCAUUAUAAGGGUCUUAUUUUCUGUUUGUUUCUGUCUAAGUUUAUAGAAGUGUAUAAUAAAAGUGUUGUUGAAAUAUAUAUAUAUUCCUUUCCAUUUCUGUCUGUUAAUCUAUAAUAAAAGUUUAUAUGAAAUUUGUCAAUUAGCUUUCUGUUAAUCUAUGAUUCAAUCAAAUAAUUAAGUGGUAAAUGUUUGUUUAUAUGUUUAUAUCUGGAAAUAAAGUUCUCAGAAUUUUGGAAUUGCAUGGGACUCAAGUUUAAUGAAUUUAUUAUAAUGUUUACUAAGAUCACAAGCUUAGUUUAUUCAUUUAAUCUCAUCUUUUUUUUUGCUCUGUUUUAUUGCAGAAACAAUUGACAUUGAAAUCGAUUUGGCUUACCUUAGCUUCCUUUCCUGUAAGCUUCCAUUUACAUUUUCUUUUUACAAUUUAAUUUAAUUUGAUUUUCCUUUAUUUUACUUUGUACAACAUUUUGCAGAUUAGCAGAUUUUCCCGUAAGCUAAACUUGCUUAUCUACUAGUAGGAAAAUAAUGGGAUUGAGAAAUAAAGAUGCUUCUAUUUAAGAUUUUGGAUUGGAUUUAUGCAAUUUGAAUUUCAUUAAUUUAUUUUUUGGUACAUAUGUAAUUUAGCUUAUAGAAUAAGUAUGACUAUCUCAGUCAAUUGUUU